AUUGAACGCUGGCGGCAUGCUUUACACAUGCAAGUCGAACGGUAACAGGCCUUCGGGUGCUGACGAGUGGCGAACGGGUGAGUAAUGCAUCGGAACGUGCCCAGAGGUGGGGGAUAACGCAGCGAAAGCUGUGCUAAUACCGCAUGUGAUCUGAGGAUGAAAGCGGGGGACCAAGCAGCAAUGUUUGGCCUCGCGCCUCUGGAGCGGCCGAUGUCAGAUUAGGUAGUUGGUGGGGUAAAGGCCUACCAAGCCGACGAUCUGUAGCUGGUCUGAGAGGACGACCAGCCACACUGGGACUGAGACACGGCCCAGACUCCUACGGGAGGCAGCAGUAGGGAAUUUUGGACAAUGGGCGCAAGCCUGAUCCAGCAAUGCCGCGUGCGGGAAGAAGGCCUUCGGGUUGUAAACCGCUUUUGUACGGAACGAAAAGGCUCUGGCUAAUACCUGGGGCUGAUGACGGUACCAUAAGAAUAAGCACCGGCUAACUACGUG
RNAcentral lists this ribosomal RNA (492 nucleotides) under uncultured bacterium. Its description in RNAcentral is "partial 16S ribosomal RNA". It matches the Rfam family "Bacterial small subunit ribosomal RNA", at positions 30 to 507 of the family's 1533-position model. The record is from RNAcentral.